UGGGGAAUUUUGGACAAUGGGGGCAAGCCUGAUCCAGCCAUGCCGCGUGAGUGAAGAAGGCCUUCGGGUUGUAAAGCUCUUUCAGACGGAAAGAAACGGUCRCGGCUAAUACCCGUGRCUAAUGACGGUACCGUAAGAAGAAGCACCGGCUAACUACGUGCCAGCAGCCGCGGUAAUACGUAGGGUGCGAGCGUUAAUCGGAAUUACUGGGCGUAAAGCGUGCGCAGGCGGUUUSGUAAGACAGAUGUGAAAUCCCCGGGCUUAACCUGGGAACUGCAUUUGUGACUGCSAGACUAGAGUGUAGCAGAGGGGGGUAGAAUUCCACGUGUAGCAGUGAAAUGCGUAGAUAUGUGGAGGAAUACCGAUGGCGAAGGCAGCCCCCUGGGCUAACACUGACGCUCAUGCACGAAAGCGUGGGGAGCAAACAGGAUUAGAUACCCUGGUAGUCCACGCCCUAAACGAUGUCAACUAGGUGUUGGGGAAGGAGACUUCUUUAGUACCGCAGCUAACGCGAUAAGUUGACCGCCUGGGGAAGUACGGUCGCAAGAUUA
RNAcentral lists this ribosomal RNA (551 nucleotides) under uncultured Gammaproteobacteria bacterium. RNAcentral's name for it is "bacterial SSU rRNA". It matches the Rfam family "Bacterial small subunit ribosomal RNA", at positions 355 to 896 of the family's 1533-position model. The record is from RNAcentral. Lineage: Bacteria; Pseudomonadati; Pseudomonadota; Gammaproteobacteria.